Molecule: ribosomal RNA, 468 nt
Filed under: uncultured bacterium
Lineage: Bacteria
Description: partial 16S ribosomal RNA
Rfam family: Bacterial small subunit ribosomal RNA
Source: RNAcentral
GACGAACGCUGGCGGCGUGCUUAACACAUGCAAGUCGAACGGAAAGGCCCUGCUUUUGUGGGGUGCUCGAGUGGCGAACGGGUGAGUAACACGUGAGUAACCUGCCCUUGACUUUGGGAUAACUUCAGGAAACUGGGGCUAAUACCGGAUAGGAGCUCCUGCUGCAUGGUGGGGGUUGGAAAGUUUCGGCGGUUGGGGCUGGACUCGCGGCUUAUCAGCUUGUUGGUGGGGUAGUGGCUUACCAAGGCUUUGACGGGUAGCCGGCCUGAGAGGGUGACCGGCCACAUUGGGACUGAGAUACGGCCCAGACUCCUACGGGAGGCAGCAGUGCGGAAUAUUGCACGAUGGGCGGAAGCCUGAUGCAGCAACGCCGCGUGCGGGAUGACGGCCUUCGGGUUGUAAACCGCUUUCGCCUGUGACGAAGCGUGAGUGACGGUAAUGGGUAAAGAAGCACCGGCUAACUACGUG